ACGGAAGGCAGCAGUGGGGAAUAUUGCACAAUGGGGGAAACCCUGAUGCAGCGACGCCGCGUGAGUGAAGAAGUAUUUCGGUAUGUAAAGCUCUAUCAGCAGGAAAGAAAAUGACGGUACCUGACUAAGAAGCCCCGGCUAACUACGUGCCAGCAGCCGCGGUAAUACGUAGGGGGCAAGCGUUAUCCGGAUUUACUGGGUGUAAAGGGAGCGUAGACGGCUUUGCAAGUCUGAAGUGAAAGCCCGGGGCUCAACCCCGGAACUGCUUUGGAAACUGUAGAGCUAGAGUGCAGGAGAGGUAAGUGGAAUUCCUAGUGUAGCGGUGAAAUGCGUAGAUAUUAGGAGGAACACCAGUGGCGAAGGCGGCUUACUGGACUGUAACUGACGUUGAGGCUCGAAGGCGUGGGGAGCAAACAUGAUUAGAUACCCUGGUA
RNAcentral lists this ribosomal RNA (434 nucleotides) under uncultured Lachnospiraceae bacterium. Its description in RNAcentral is "partial 16S ribosomal RNA". It matches the Rfam family "Bacterial small subunit ribosomal RNA", at positions 341 to 792 of the family's 1533-position model. Lineage: Bacteria; Bacillati; Bacillota; Clostridia; Lachnospirales; Lachnospiraceae. The record is from RNAcentral.